Molecule: ribosomal RNA, 253 nt
Filed under: uncultured bacterium
Lineage: Bacteria
Description: partial 16S ribosomal RNA
Rfam family: Bacterial small subunit ribosomal RNA
Source: RNAcentral
UACGUAGGGCGCAAGCGUUAAUCGGAAUUAUUGGGCGUAAAGAGCUCGUAGGCGGUUUGUCGCGUCUGCCGUGAAAGUCCGGGGCUCAACUCCGGAUCUGCGGUGGGUACGGGCAGACUAGAGUGAUGUAGGGGAGACUGGAAUUCCUGGUGUAGCGGUGAAAUGCGCAGAUAUCAGGAGGAACACCGAUGGCGAAGGCAGGUCUCUGGGCAUUAACUGACGCUGAGGAGCGAAAGCAUGGGGAGCGAACAGG